AGCUCCAAUAGCGUAUAUUAAAGUUGUUGCGGUUAAAAAGCUCGUAGUUGGGUUUCUGCUGAGGGUGGCGGGUCCGGUCCAUGAUCGGUAUCUUGUUCACUCUUGGCAUCCUCUUGAGGAACUUUCUGCGCUUCAUUGCGUGGUUAGGUUUUCAAGACUUUUACUUUGAGGAAAUUAGAGUGUUCACUGCAGGCGUUCGCAACUGAAUACAUUAGCAUGGAAUAAUAACAUAGGACCUUGGUGCUAUUUUGUUGGUUUCUAGCGCUGAGGUAAUGAUUAAUAGGGACAAUUGGGGGCAUUCGUAUUAACGCGUCAGAGGUGGAAUUCUUAGAUUGCGUUACGACGAACUACUGCGAAAGCAUUUGCCAAGGAUGUUUUCA
This 380-nucleotide ribosomal RNA is filed under the name uncultured eukaryote. RNAcentral describes it as "SSU rRNA". It matches the Rfam family "Eukaryotic small subunit ribosomal RNA", at positions 587 to 972 of the family's 1831-position model. The record is from RNAcentral.